Molecule: long non-coding RNA, 1383 nt
Filed under: Callithrix jacchus (white-tufted-ear marmoset)
Lineage: Eukaryota; Metazoa; Chordata; Mammalia; Primates; Cebidae
Description: lncRNA (ENSCJAG00000085549.1)
Source: RNAcentral
AAAGUCAGAUUAAAAGUGUGCUUUUAUUUUCUAGAAUGCUUUGCUACUCAUAUGAAAUAUAUCAUAGGAACCAAUAGAAUUAUGGGUAUUGAGAAAAGGCCAGUAUAAAGCUAUGACUGCUUCUCAUCACUUAGAAAUGUGCUUGUCACCAAAUAAUCCAAAAAGAUACUCUGUUGUGAGUUUGCUUUUGUGAACAACUGUCUUAAACUGAGGCAUGCUCUUCAGGUUACAAUUCAAAGAAGAAAACCUCAGAACGAUCUCCUGAGCUGAAAAUUAAAUCCUGGGGUAUUAAUAGAUGAUGAAGUCAUCCAGCUGCCCAUGAAAUUUUACCCUUUCCUUGAAUUCUUGGUCCCACUGGUCAUUUCAGUUUACCCAAGAGGAGAGAAAUGACAGUCAAAAUUUCCCCAUUUACAGGAAAGCAUGCUUCCUAGAGAUUAUGAACAAUGCAACAGGUUGUCGGAAAUAAUUCUCAGCAAACUGACACAAGAACAGAAAAUCAAACACCACAUGUUCUCACUCAUAGGUGGGUGUUGAACAAUGAGAACACAUGGACGCAGGGAGGGAAGCAUCACACACUGGGGUCUGUUGGGGGGGAAAUAGGGGAGAGACAGCAGGGAGUGGGGAGGUGGGGAGAGAGAGCGUGGGGAGAAAUGCCAGAUGUAGGUGAUGGGGAGGAAGGCAGCAAGCUGGGAUUUCAGGCAUGCGUGAUCACACUCAACUUGUGUUUUUGUGGAGACAGGAUUUCACCAUGUUGGCCAGGCUGGUCUCGAACUCCUGACCUCAGGUGAUCCACCUGCCUUGGACUCUCAAAGUGCUGGGAUUACAGGUGUGAACCACUGAGCCUGGCCUCCAGGAAGUCUUAAAAUAAUAUUUUCCUGUCUUUCAAAGACUUUAGUGAGCCUUUUUUUUCAUGUCUUUGCCCAUUUCUAAUGAAAAUUAUCUUCUUAUUCUCAUUAAUUUUAUUAAAUUACUUUAUCAACAAAUUGCCUCAUCCAUCACCUCCAUAACCAUGAAUCACAGUGUCAUAAAAUAUAUAGCAAAGGAUAACAUGCCUUUCUGAUUGAACUCAUGAAAGUCUGCUUUGCCACACUAAUGCCCUGAAAGCUGAUCUUUUCUUUUUUUGUCAUGUUAUGUGGUUCUUUGUAUUUGUUAGGUAUAAGUAUGUUUAAUAGUUUAAGGCUUAAGAAAACAUACAAGACUGAAGUUAUUUCAUACCAUAUAAACUGCUAUAAAUGUAUUUUUAAUGAUGCUAAAAGUUAAUUUCUUUAGUGGCAUUGUAAUUGGCAAUGCGUUAGGUGCUAAAACACACGUUUUUUUAAAAAGUUUCCAUUCUCAUGUUGAUAUGACUGACAUUUUUCCAGAUCAUUUCGAAAAUAUGUGUAA